GCCUGGCCACGGUGGCAGAGCAUUGGGCUAGUAUUCCAAAGGCCUCCAAAGGUCGUAGGUUCGAUUCCCACCGUGGCUAGGCA
Non-coding RNA from Paramuricea clavata, 83 nucleotides. The record is from the annotation of a GenBank genome assembly. Lineage: Eukaryota; Metazoa; Cnidaria; Anthozoa; Malacalcyonacea; Plexauridae.